Molecule: ribosomal RNA, 515 nt
Filed under: uncultured bacterium
Lineage: Bacteria
Description: bacterial SSU rRNA
Rfam family: Bacterial small subunit ribosomal RNA
Source: RNAcentral
CACGGUAAACGAUGGAUGCCCGCUGUUUGCGAUAUACUGUGAGCGGCCAAGAGAAAUCGUUAAGCAUCCCACCUGGGGAGUACGCCGGCAACGGUGAAACUCAAAGGAAUUGACGGGGGCCCGCACAAGCGGAGGAACAUGUGGUUUAAUUCGAUGAUACGCGGGGAACCUUACCCGGGCUUGAACUGCCAGCGAACGAUUCAGAGAUGAUGAGGUCCUUCGGGACGCUGGUGGAGGUGCUGCAUGGUUGUCGUCAGCUCGUGCCGUGAGGUGUCGGCUUAAGUGCCAUAACGAGCGCAACCCUUUUCUUUAGUUGCCAUCAGGUAAUGCUGGGCACUCUGGAGAUACUGCCACCGUAAGGUGUGAGGAAGGUGGGGAUGACGUCAAAUCAGCACGGCCCUUACGUCCGGGGCUACACACGUGUUACAAUGGGGGGCACAGCGAGCUGGGCGUACGCAAGUGCGUCCGAAUCAAGAAAUCCCCCCUCAGUUCGGACUGGGGUCUGCAACCCGACC